AUACUUGUUCCGUUGUUGAAUUUUUUUUUUAAAAAGUUUUAUUCUUGCUUUUUUAUUUGCUUGAAGAAUGAUUUAUAUAUAUUGUAAUAACUUAAUGUUUUUUGGUAGUAUUUAUUAUUGUACAAUUAAUUGUAUUUGGAUACAGUAAUUCUUUUAAUAUUGGUUAAAUGCGUGCCAGCUGCCGCGGUUAGACGUGAAAUAUAAGUGAAUUUUUUUAGUGAGAAGUUAAUAUAUGGUUUAUAAGGUAAUUAUGAUAAGUUAAAUUAUUAUGGUGAAAUUGUUUUUUGUUGUGUUUAAUUUUUUAUGAAGCUUUGAAAUUAAAAUUGUUAAACUAGGAUUAGAUACCCUAUUAUAAUUAAUGUAAAUAUUUGUACUGGAGUAAUAAUAGUAUUUCUUGAAACUCAAAGAAUUUGGCGGUUUUUUAGUCUUUUCAGGGGAAUCUGUUCUGUAAUUGAUAAUACACGUUUUGUUUAACUUAAUUUUGUGAUCAGUUUGUAUACCGCCGUCGUUAGAUUAUUUUUAUUUAAGAAUUAAAUUUUCUUGAAUUUUUAUUGAAUUAUAUGUCAGGUCAAGGUGCAGCUUAUGAUUAAGUAGAAAUGGAUUACAAUAAUAUUAAUUAUUAUGAAUAAUUAUUUUAGGUUAAUUUGAAGGUGGACUUGAUUGUAAUUAUAUUUUUAAUUUUUAUGUUGAUUUGAGCUCUAGAAUGUGUACAUAUCGCCCGUCACUCUCAUUAUUAAGAUGAGAUAAGUCGUAACAUAGUAGAUGUACCGGAAGGUGUAUCUAGAAUGUC
This 790-nucleotide non-coding RNA is filed under the name Pseudolebinthus lunipterus. Lineage: Eukaryota; Metazoa; Arthropoda; Insecta; Orthoptera; Gryllidae. The record is from RNAcentral.